GACGAACGCUGGCGGCGUGCUUAACACAUGCAAGUCGAACGGAAAGGCCCUGCUUUUGUGGGGUGCUCGAGUGGCGAACGGGUGAGUAACACGUGAGUAACCUGCCCUUGACUUUGGGAUAACUUCAGGAAACUGGGGCUAAUACCGGAUAGGAGCUCCUGCUGCAUGGUGGGGGUUGGAAAGUGUCGGCGGUUGGGGAUGGACUCGCGGCUUAUCCGCUUGUUGGUGGGGUUGUGGCUUACCAAGGCUUUGACGGGUAGCCGGCCUGAGAGGGUGACCGGCCACAUUGGGACUGAGAGACGGCCCAGACUCCUACGGGAGGCAGCAGUGGGGAAUAUUGCACAAUGGGCGGAAGCCUGAUGCAGCAACGCCGCGUGCGGGAUGACGGCCUUCGGGUUGUAAACCGCUUUCGCCUGUGACGAAGCGUGAGUGACGGUAAUGGGUAAAGAAGCACCGGCUAACUACGUG
Molecule: ribosomal RNA, 468 nt
Filed under: uncultured bacterium
Lineage: Bacteria
Description: partial 16S ribosomal RNA
Rfam family: Bacterial small subunit ribosomal RNA
Source: RNAcentral